Molecule: transfer RNA, 58 nt
Filed under: Monodelphis domestica (gray short-tailed opossum)
Lineage: Eukaryota; Metazoa; Chordata; Mammalia; Didelphimorphia; Didelphidae
Rfam family: tRNA
About the family: Transfer RNA (tRNA) molecules are approximately 80 nucleotides in length. Their secondary structure includes four short double-helical elements and three loops (D, anti-codon, and T loops). Further hydrogen bonds mediate the characteristic L-shaped molecular structure. tRNAs have two regions of fundamental functional importance: the anti-codon, which is responsible for specific mRNA codon recognition, and the 3' end, to which the tRNAs corresponding amino acid is attached (by aminoacyl-tRNA synthetases). tRNAs cope with the degeneracy of the genetic code in two manners: having more than one tRNA (with a specific anti-codon) for a particular amino acid; and 'wobble' base-pairing, i.e. permitting non-standard base-pairing at the 3rd anti-codon position.
Source: Rfam by way of RNAcentral
UGGCACAGUAGGCAGUGCAUCAGUCUUAUAAGCUGAAGGUCCUGAGUUCAGUCCUCAG